UAAAACUCUAAGUCAUGCUAUAGCUUUUUACACAGCCGACUGAAUUUGUGGCAUUUGUUUGCCUAUAAAACUAGCUGCCAGCAGGAUACAUGCUCCAAACCAAGUUCAAGUCCACAACAUAAAACUCUAACUCACUAUUACAACCAUGCUCCAAGUCAUAUCACAGCAGCACUCAACCCACUUAGAAGCCAAGAGGUACACACACUCAGGAUGAACCGUCUUCAAACAACAUUUAAUUACUUAGUCAUCCGAAAAACCCAGGCCUGAUUUAAAGUCCUAUCCCAGCUAAAACUAACCAUCUACAUUCAUCAAUGGUUGCCGCAGAGAGCAAAAUUGCUUCAUGGGUAUGGGGUUUUCUUUUGGGGUGAUGAAAAUGUUUUGGAACUAGGCAGAGGUGAUGGUUGCACAAUACUGUGAUUGUGUUAAAUGUCACUGAAUUGUUCCCUUUUAAAUUAUUAACUUUGUUGUGUGAAUUUCACCUCAAUAUUUUUUUUUUAAUCUGUAUAUGUAGAUUCUGAAAGAGUAGAUUCUGGCAGGAGUAGGCAACUCUCACUCCUCCCCUGACUUACUGCAAUCUCGCACACACACAAUUAAAUAAAUAGGUACUAUAAAAUGAGAUGGUCCCCAGACUAGGAAAAGGCUCACAUAUUCAUUCAACAAACACUGUUUGAGAAUCUACUCUGCCCAGGCAAUGAGGAUGCAGUCCUGACACGCCCCAGGAACGGGUGUCAGGUUACAGAAUUGUGACUGAACAAAGGAUGCAGCAGGGAGUCAGGACGUGGUGCCCAGGACAGGUGUGCCAUGAUCCAGUGUGCCACAUCUGGCUUUGGAUGACAUGCUGACUGCAGCGGGAGAGUGGAAGGGUGGGGUGAAGUAAAGGGGAUGAUGACGGGAACAGAGGCGGGCAGACCCUUUAUGAGGCAACUGCCAGACAAGAAGGGACAGUGGCCUGAGCCAAGGUUUUAACAGUGCUCUGGGAAAGGUAGUCUGGUUCAAGAGAGAGCUAGGACAUGGCCUUAAUACUGCCUGGGGACUGCCCAGACAGGAGCCGUAGCACCACAGCACUGCAGCUUUGCAGGGCGAGUGCAGGGGGAGACACCACCACAGUACGAUAGGCAACAUCCCAGGCCUGGACUGGAUUUUGCGGGCAGAGGGGUAAAGCAUCUGGGCUGCUGUCCAGUUCACUCACCCAGGUGGCCGGUGGAUGGAGGUGCUGGUCCCAAAGAGAUUUGUGUAGGGAGAGACAGAGUGACAAACUGGUACAACAGAAGUUUGUAAAGCGAUCCCUGGGGACCUCAGAGCCCACCUUCCCUGGAAGUCUCAUGCUCCAGAGCUGAGCCACUGCCUCUCUCCAAGCCAUCCUCACCCCUAAGAGAGGAAAAUGCGCCCCUUCUUCCCAGGCCCCUGCUCCAUCAGCGCUCCAACUGAGAAUGGGAACAAACCUAGAAGUAAUCCUGAGACGGUCAAAUUGUAUAGGAAGCAGGAGUGACAGGAGUGAUAGCCCAGGAGUCCCACACUGAGCAUCAUUAUGACAGCAAUGCCAAUUUAAGCUGACAGCUGGAUGAGCCUGUGUUACUCAUAUAGAAGAGUCAGGGGCCCAGGGGAAUCAAAGAUGAGGUCAUCAAGAGGACGUGACCACCAGCUGACCCUAGAGCUGGACCUGGGCAAUUGGAGGCUCCCCACCCCCAUCCUUGGAAUGUACAUUCUGCCCACUUCCCAGAGUGCGAGCUGUUCCAAGGACACAGCUUUGAGAGAGCACAUCCAACAGGGGCCAUCUGGAUGGGAUACAUGACUGAACCCUGUUGAGGCCUCUGUAUAAACUUUAAGAUUCUGGAGGGGAGGUGUGGAGAUCCACUCCUCUUGAGGCCACCCAAGAAAAAAGCCUUGCAUGUAAGUUCCCUUGCUUGUUAAACCUGCCACCUACCAAUCUGGAGUGUCUGCCUCUUUCUUUGGUCUCUCCCUGUCCUGCAUGUUUCUGAACUAACACCAUUAUAUGGUUUCUUCACCCACCCCUCCCCAUGUCUGCCAAAGUCACUUCUCUUACAAGAAGAAAAGACAAGAGAAGUGAAGGGAAAGAAAGGGAAGAAAGGAGAGGGAAGGAAAGGAGAGGAAGUAGAGGGACAUGACAGGAAAAAGUAAAGGAAGGAGAGGGCCAUCUGUCUCCCUGGCUUCAUCCUUACGUGGGCACAGCUCUGAGAUGCUCACCACCCCCUAUAGCACACCCAUCCAGCCACUGCCCUGGGGUCUUAGAUCUCUUCCAGGAGGACGUCUCACCUCUUCUUUAUAAAGCUGUUGGCCACCCCUCCCCCACCUUGGUGCCACCCAAACCUCUCCCUCCUGGGUUAUUUGUUCUUCAUAUACUUUCUUAUGCCUGGACCAGGCCUCUUUCUCUGACUUCCUUCCAAUUUGGCACAAGUGUAAAUUUACAGGAAGAAGAAAACCCACCUGUAGUAAUACAAAAUGGGGGAGGGAGGGGAACCAAUUGUUUUCUGAUCAAUUCCAUAACCAUCCAAUGCAAAAAUAACCUUUAUCUUCUAAAUACUUUACUGUAUUUUCUAAAUUUCCUAAUGUGAGCAUGGAUUACUUUUAUAAUCAGAGAAGGGCUUUUUUAUGUAAGUCUAAUAAAACAUAUGACUUUUUGAAAAGUUUCUCAAGAGCCAAAAAUGUUUUCAGCUAUUUAUAUGCUUACAUUUGUUUGUAAUUAAGCUGACCAUAUAUCAGCCAAACCAGGACUCUUAUGAGCAUAAAGGGGAACUGUAACAAGAAGUAUGGACAACAGGCAU
Molecule: long non-coding RNA, 2783 nt
Organism: Orcinus orca (killer whale)
Lineage: Eukaryota; Metazoa; Chordata; Mammalia; Artiodactyla; Delphinidae
Exons: 4
Source: RefSeq, a predicted model, not a curated record